AAACAGAAGUGGUAAAAAAAGAGAGAAAAAAACCCUCUUUGCUUACUCGUUUUUUUUUGUUCUGUUUGUUUUUUGUUUUU
RNAcentral lists this non-coding RNA (80 nucleotides) under uncultured eukaryote. The record is from RNAcentral.